Pelobates cultripes (western spadefoot toad) is the source of this 845-nucleotide non-coding RNA. The record is from the annotation of a GenBank genome assembly. Lineage: Eukaryota; Metazoa; Chordata; Amphibia; Anura; Pelobatidae.
AGUAUUGAUAGUUUUACAGCAUACUGUAUGCACACACAGCCUUUUUUUUAAAUAAGAUAACUUAGCUAGAGUUGAACUGCAGUGUAAUAUGAUAACAAGAUGACUUUGACACUUCUGAAAACAGCAUUAUUCUUAUAGUUUUUGCACGCUCGGAAAGAAAAACUGUCGCCUUUGAGUAGGUGACAAUUCACUUUUACCACAUGCCAGUAACACAAAACUUUUACUUAGGUGAGGUGUUCAAUAGAGCCAAGUAUAAAACACAACUGCCUCAUCUGCUCUUAAUGGAGCAUAUUUUGCAAAGGCUCCUGAGGGUGAAUUGUCCACUUGAAGAGCAAAGGAAAGAAGAACAAGUCGGGAGAAAUAAUUACAGUAACCUCUCACUUGUUGCCAAUAUCUCCUGAUGUCCAUCUUAAGCUCCUACACUUUAUCCACCAAGAGCCAUAUCACCUCCAUAUUCUUGUGCGUAUGCAAGAAUAUAACACAGAUCUAUGAAGAAUCCCUCAAGAUACUCCAGAGAAUCUGCAUUGUGAUGUCUGAGAAGAAGCCUUUUCUUUCAACCAUUGCUAUAACUAACAAAAUAUGACAGGGGUGCCUCUAGUCAAAAUUUUGUAAAUUUAAGGCAUGCUCUAUAUGACAUAUUUUUGAUUGAUUUGGAAUUUAAAGUAAAUGAAAUGGGGCUUAAUUGCAACUUUGACCUCAAUUAAAUUCUUUUGGAUUAGCUUUUCAAAUAAUCACAAUCUAUAAGAAAAACCUUUCAGAUGAUUUAUAUACGGAAGUCACUAUUAACCUGUUCAUGCCGCUGGGCGUUCUACAUGUCCUGCAAAAGCUGUGAUUUAAUGCUGUAG